This 543-nucleotide ribosomal RNA is filed under the name uncultured bacterium. RNAcentral's name for it is "bacterial SSU rRNA". It matches the Rfam family "Bacterial small subunit ribosomal RNA", at positions 8 to 526 of the family's 1533-position model. The record is from RNAcentral.
AGAGUUUGAUCAUGGCUCAGAGCGAACGCUGGCGGCGUACUUAACACAUGCAAGUCGAACGGGGAUCGUCGGUGUAGCAAUACAUCGGCGGUCCUAGUGGCGCACGGGUGAGUAACACGUGGGUAACCUGUCCUUGAGUUCGGGAUACCCUCUCGAAAGGGAGGCUAAUACCGGAUACGUUCCCCGGAUUGCGAAAUUUGGGGGGGAAAGGUGGCGCAAGCUGCCGCUCUUGGAGGGGCUCGCGGCCUAUCAGCUAGUUGGUGAGGUAAUGGCUCACCAAGGCUAUGACGGGUAGCUGGUCUGAGAGGACGACCAGCCACACGGGAACUGAGACACGGUCCCGACUCCUACGGGAGGCAGCAGUGGGGAAUUUUCCGCAAUGGGCGAAAGCCUGACGGAGUGACGCCGCGUGGGGGACGAAGGCCUUCGGGUUGUAAACCCCUGUCAGAGGGAAAGAAGGGUGUCGGCGCGAUAACCGUCGGCACUUGACGGUACCUUCAGAGGAAGCCCCGGCCAACUCUGUGCCAGCAGCCGCGGUAAUAC